GAUGAAGAACGUAGCGAAAUGCGAUAAGUAGUGUGAAUUGCAGAAUCCAGUGAAUCAUCGAAUCUUUGAACGCACAUUGCGCCCCUUGGUAUUCCAUGGGGCAUGCCUGUUCGAGCGUCAUUUGUACCUUCAAGCUUUGCUUGGUGUUGGGUGUUUGUCUCGCCUCCGCGUGUAGACUCGCCUCAAAACAAUUGGCAGCCGGCGUAUUGAUUUCGGAGCGCAGUACAUCUCGCGCUUUGCACUCACAACGACGACGUCCAAAAGUACAUUUUUACACUCUUGACCUCGGAUCAGGUAGGGAUACCCGCUGAACUUAAGCAUAUCAAUAAGCGGAGGA
RNAcentral lists this unclassified non-coding RNA (337 nucleotides) under soil metagenome. RNAcentral describes it as "partial contains 5.8S ribosomal RNA, internal transcribed spacer 2, and large subunit ribosomal RNA". The stretch from base 1 to 120 matches the Rfam family "5.8S ribosomal RNA", at positions 35 to 154 of the family's 154-position model. The record is from RNAcentral.